CAAUAAUCAGGGCCUCUGUCUUGCUC
This 26-nucleotide non-coding RNA is filed under the name Rattus norvegicus (Norway rat). Lineage: Eukaryota; Metazoa; Chordata; Mammalia; Rodentia; Muridae. The record is from RNAcentral.